RNAcentral lists this long non-coding RNA (16014 nucleotides) under Nicotiana tabacum (common tobacco). RNAcentral describes it as "long non-coding RNA (NTAB_LNC000765)". Lineage: Eukaryota; Viridiplantae; Streptophyta; Magnoliopsida; Solanales; Solanaceae. The record is from RNAcentral.
GUGUUUGAAUCAAUGUAAAUGCCUAAUUUUUGCUCCUUUUUUUUUUCUUCUUUUAUGUUUAUUGUGUGUGUAUGUGUAGGUUUUAGGAAUUGAUUUUGUUUAAUUAAAAAGGGAAUAAGAGUUUGGGCUAAGUUGCAUUUUUAGCCGGAAUGGGCAAAAAAUCGGACCAAAUCAGUGGCCCAAUGGCACUGACCCGGUCCGGAUGAGACUGGCCAGGGAGGUAAACUACACGGCAUAGUUUCAGUGUCGUUUUAUUUAAUAACUUGAAGAUCGAAUCUCAACCGUUGGUCACUCUUUGAUCGGCCGGUUCUCAUCCAAUCUACAACCCAGGUAUUUAAUACCUCAAUUGCCCGAUUUUUGCCCUCAUUUAACCCCCCCCCCUUUUCUUCUUCUCUUCUCUUUUCUCUUGACUCUCUCUCAUCUCUCUGCCUCUCCGCCACUCCCCACGGUGGUUCCACCGGCUGAAAAUUGCCACCACCGGCCGACCACCUCCAAUCACCACCAAACUUUCACCCCCUAAUAUCAACCUCGUCUUUUUGAUUCCAACCUCCAAAUCCUCUAAAUCCUCACCAAUCACCACAAAUCCGGCCAAAUCUGAAAUCCUAGCCGUCCAAAGUUUCUUCUUUUCUUUCUCAAAUUAGUGACAUACCAGUCAUCCCCACCACACAAGCCUCGCAUAAAUGUGUAUAUCUCCGGGAGAUCUGCACUUCUCCAUUAGUUUCAUUACCAAAAAGCCCCAUCGUUACCGUCCGACCACCCCAAUGCCUGUAACCUCCACCAAACGCCCCGAACAUCUAUUUUAGCUAUUUUGACUCAAAGACACUCGUUUUUUUUUGCAAGACGCCGAAACCCUUUUGUUUUAGCGUCUGCUCGAAAGAAACGUGUGUUCUAGAGUCGGACAGCCACCGCUUGAUGUCUCUGUCGUCUUCUGGUGGCUUGAGACUGCCUCGAUGGCACUUGUUAGGUAUACUCCUAUCUCUUGUUUCCUUUUUAAUUUUUUAUGUUUCAUUAAAGUUAGUUUAGGCCUAGGUUUAGCUUAUAACAUUUUUCUGUUUGUUUCUUAUUCGUGAUGAUCUUCUUUUAAUUUGUGUAUUUUCUUUUGAUAAAAUAGUUUAGAUAUUUUAGCCGAAAAUAGUAGCUUAAUCACUCAAUGAAUCUUGUUUAGUUCUUGUUUGUGAUUUAGUAGUUUGGUAUGUAGUAUAGUGUUCUGAUUAGCUGCUCGUAAUGGUCGUUUAGUUAGUGAGUUUGUAUUUAUUUAGUUUGAGUUAGUGACUUGUUGAUCUUGAUCGAUUGUUGGUUGCAUAAACCAAAUUGAUUUAAUCUAGUUAGUUUGAAUUUAGUUACAGUAAAGAUAUUAUUUAUGCUUUGACAAUCCAUAUUUGUUUAAGUUUGAUUUGUUUUGAGCAAGUAGGUUGGUACUGAUGGUUUAAAGUUGAAGUCUAGGUAAAUUGAUCACGAUUUAGGAUACUAGUAGCUUGCUUUUUACUACUAGAGUGGCUGAAAGGACCCUUUCACCCCAUGCUUCUGCCACAACAGGUUGGCUGUCUUUUCACCCUUCGAACAGUCUUUGGGCAGUGUUUUGGCCUACAAAGUCAGUCCUUUUGGACAGACUUUUGGUGAACCAAAAUCUAUCCCAAAGGACUUGUAUUUUCCUACUUAAGGGGGCUCCUCUCACUCACUUUAAUUUAGACAGGCCUUUCAACCUUUGUUGAACACACAAAAAACUUGAGAGAAAUCAGCUGAACAUCAAGAAAUAGUAGGCUGAAACUUGAGAGCUUUGUGUGAAUUUUCUGGAAAAAAAAAACUUCAAAGAACAAAUGUCUUUGAAGUUAAUUUAUGGGUUUCUUUAUCUCUGAAAAUUGUCUGAGUUUUCGAGAUCUAUUUCGAGUCGUCUAUUUGGUUCUUUACUGUUGUUGCUGUUGUUUAUUUAGUUGCUGAUUUUCAAGUGCUUUUGCCGAGUUUUUCUGUUUCGUUUCUAGGUAUUUUCAUCGCUAUUUCUGCUGUUGUUUCUGCUCGUUACACUGCAGUAUUUUUAUUAUUCUGCGACCCAGGUAACUCUUUAACCUUGUGUUGUAGAUACUUUAACAUUAAUAAGAAGAUUUGAACUCAUCUUGACUGUUGGGAGCAUAUUUAUCUAGAUAAAUGAAUGCUAGAUAGUUUUUGAUUGUUAAAGCAUAUCUUGUUUGAUUCACGUGUAAAAAUGAAUCUAUGAAUGUUCAAAUACUCUCUAUUCAUGUGUAACUUGACUUUAUUACCCAAUAUAUGGUUCCGAUUCAUGUAAAAAUGGGAUAUUCUGAAAAGGCUGGCAUGUGUUUAAAGACUGUUCUGGCACUUUGCGCAAUUCUGGCCAGUUUAUGUUAGUUUUGUGCAAAUUGGCCAUUCUUUAAAGAAAAGAACAAAAGAGCCAUGCCUGAAAGCUUUAAUUUAUUAUUAUAAAGUCUAGAUUUUACAUCUCUGCUAGGACCUUUGCUUUCUGGUAAAAAGUGGCUAGAUCAUAAAUAAGUGGUUGGGAUUGCUAGCUAAAAAUAAAGGUUAAUGGCUUAGAGCAAAAGAGGUUAGACUCGCAAUAUAGCACAGGUGGGCUGUCUUAGCAAGUCAGCAGUUGAAAGCCAUUGGGCUUUUAGCUUGUGCCCAUUUAUGGAGCCCAAUAAUGUGGACAAGACAGAUUCUGCCCAACAGGCCCAAUGCCUUUAAAAAGUCUAUAAAUAUUUUGCCCAUUCGUUUGUGUAGAUGCUGGCCCAAUGACACAACUAAUAAGCAAAUCGGCCCACUUUCUCAAUAAAUAAUCUGAUCCAUCUUCAAAAUAAUACUAGAUUAGUUGAAUAAACUUAUUAGGAGCAAGUUAAUUUCCAUAAUGUUUAACAAUAAUCUAAUAACUUAAGCACUUUUAAUUAAUUUAAGCGCUAGGCAAAUUUUAGGCACGGAUACAAGUCUGAUGUUCUUAAAAUGCUUCGCGUAUACUAGCUUGGUCAUGUAGUUUAAUAAGAAUAAAGAUUAUAAAUAAGGUCCAAUAUCAAUAGAAUAUCCAUAAGUUGUUUUACUACCAUUAGUUUACAAAAAACAUUUUCUUUCACAAUAGAGAUGGAUAAUUAUUUUUCCCAUAAUCUAACCUCCAAAACCUUAGAUUAAAUAAAGAUAAUUAGUUUCGUCUUAACCGAUAUCGAUAAGACUCACUUCGAGUAGGCUCCAAUUCUAGGUGCGACACACGAAUUAAGGUCGGAGAUAAUCGUCUUGGUUAGUGUAAGUUAGGGUCGGGGAUACUAGUCCUAGUUUGAAACUUAACAAUGUCAUCAACAAUAAAAGCGGAGUUUAAGUCAAUAAAGCGACGGUGCUAGAACCACGGACUCGGGGAGUGCCUCACACCUUCACCCCGGUCAACAUAAUUUCUUACCCGGUCUCCUAUUUUUGUAGACCAAUAAAAAUAGAGUCAAACCUUCCUUUGACUAGGGAUUCAAAUAAAAAGUGACUUGGAACACCUAAAAAAUCAAUUCGAGUGGCGACUCUAUAAAUAAAAUAAUCUCUACUCAAAUUUGUCACUUUAAUUAAAAUUUUUUUUUUAAUCCACAAUCCAUACAACAUAUCCUUUAGGGUAGAAAAGGGGUGUGACAGCUCUGGCGACUCUGCUAGGUAAAUUCAAGAAUUCGAGCUUAUACAUUGACUUUAUUUAGCUUUAUUAAUUUUAGUAUAUACUGUGAUUUAUUUGGGCCUAAUAUGCUACUUGCCUGCUCUUUACCGCUUUGAUAUUGUUGAACUGUAUUAUAAAUUGUCUUCUUGCGCAUCCCCUCUAAGUCUUCUGAAUAUAACAUCAGCAAUUGCGGAUACGCGCCCCAUUCUUUUUUGAGAUAAAGCUGGUGGGCCUGAGCUCCCAGUGAAGAAUUAUUAGUCACCCAUAUUUAAGAAACGGGGAGGUUCCAGUAUUGUGAUGACCCGAUAGGUCAUUUUGAGAUUUAGCCUCUAUUCCCGUAUUUUGAGACCUCGAAUAGCUUCGUUUAGCAUUCUUGAUUUGCGUGCACAGUCAGAGUCUUAUUCUGAAAACGUUUUAUGUGAAAAAUUUAAGAAAAUGUGAAUUUUUGUCUUUAAAAUGACUUGAGUUGACUACGGUCAAUAUUUUAUGUAAACGGAUCCGGAUUAGUAUUUUGAUGGUUCAGGUGGAUCCGAAUCGUGAUUUGGCACUUGGGCGUAUGUCCGGAAUUGAAUUCGUAAGUCCCUAACUUGUUUUGACUCAUUUUGCUGAAAAUUAGCAUUUUUGAAAGUUAAAGAAUUCCUAAGUUGACCAUAAGUUGACUUCUUAGCUAAUAGGUUCGAAUUUUGACAUUAAAACUUGGAAUUAUUCCGUAUUGCUAUUUGAAACUUGUCUGCAAAAUUUGGUUCAAUUCGAAAUUGAUUUGACAUAAUUCAGACACAUAAACGUGAUUCUAGUAUUUUUGAGUUUCACUUUAAAAGUUCAUUCGUUUUGAGAGUUGAUUCGUAGAUAUACAUGUUAUUUUGGUGAUUUGAUUGUACGAGAAAGUUCUUAUGAUGUUAUUACACUUGUGUGCAUGUUUAGUUUGGAGUCCGAGGGGCUCACGUGAGUUUCGAAUAGUCUACGAAUUGAUUUUGGACUUUGGGAGAUAGCUGAUGUCUUCAGUGUUGCUGGUGUAAUCUACAGAUCUCGCAUUUGCGAGGCCUGGCUCGCAAUUGCGAGCCUCGCUUUUGCGAACUAGUAUUUGCAUUUGCGAGUACGGGUUGGAUUGGGAAGUUUUGCAUUUGCGAGGAGAAAGUUCGCAUUUGCGAACGUGCAGUUGCAGCUUUGCGAAGACAGAGUCGCGUUUGCGACUCAGUGUGUUCCUGGGUAACCUUCGCAUUUGCGAAGGGAUGGUCUGCAUUUGCGUGGGCUCUAGGUUCAUAUUUGCGACCAAAAUGUCACAUUUGCGACGUCUCUUCUUCUAAGAUAGGGUUCUCAUUUGCGACCCCUUUCUCGCAUUUGCGAUGUUUGCAAUUGCGAACAUGACAUUGCAAUUGCGACAUCCGCAUCUGGGUAAAAGAGGGAAAAAGCGAGAUUUAGCUCAUUUCUCACAAACUCUCAAAUCUAAACACCUAGAGGCGAUUUUCCAAGAGACGUUUCUUCCUAAAUUCAUUGGUUAGUGACUUUAAUCCAUUUUUUUUCAAUUACCCAUAACAUUUCAUAAGAUUUCAACAUAAAAUUUAGGAUUUCAAUGGUAGAAAUUAGAGAUUUGGGUAUAAUUGAGGAUUUUUGUAAAAUUGAGGUUUAGACCUCGAAUUGGGGUCGGAUUUCGAAACAAAUCACAUAAUCAGGCUCAGGGGUGAAUGUGUAAUCGGGUUUUGGUCCAAAUCUCAAUUUUGACCAAGCGGGCCCGGGGUUGACUUUUGUUGACUUUUCCAAAAAUGAUCUAAAUUGAACCCCUUUCAUUCGUGGGUAGUUUCUAAAGUUUAUUUUGAAUCAUUUGGUCAAUAAUUUACUAUAUUUGGUUGGUUUGGAGGCUUGUUCGAAAGGAAAGACCGUUGAGCUUUGAGUUAAUUGCGGAGUGAGGUAAAUGUUGGGUUUAAUGUAAGUGACCCGCGUUAGCUUGUCACUACUUCAUCGAGGUUACGCUCGACACUUACAGAGUACAUGGGGUCGGUUGUACUCAUACUACACUCUGCACUUCUUGUGCAGAUACCGAAGUUGGUCCCAUUGACGUUCAGUAAACUUGCUCAGAUCCAGUUUUUCGGUGGAGACUUGAGGUAUAGCUACACGACGUCUGCAGCCCUGAAGUCCCCUUAUACUUUAUUUUAGCUGUUUACUUUGAUUAAGACAGUUAUGUUUAUUUUAAACUUUUAUUUUUAGUAUUCUAGAUGCUCAUGUAUUCUUGACACCAGUUCCGAGAUUUGUAUUUGAAUUUCGUCACUUAUUAGUUUAUUACCUUAUUUCAGACUGUUCAGUUUUAUUAUUGUCAUUUAAUUUGAAAAUUGUUAAAAAUGGUUAAUAACUAUAUCUAACGUUGGGCGCCAUCACGGUCCCUAGGGUGGGAAUUUUGGAUCGUGACAAAUUGGUAUCAGAGCACUAGGUUGCCUAAGUCUCACGUGUCAUGAGCAAGCUUAGUAUAGUCUGGAGGAUCGGUAUGGAGACAUCUAUACUUAUGUUCUAGAGGCUAUGAAGUUUAGGAAAAAAUUCACUUCUUUCUAUCUCGAUCGUGCAAUUCAUUCUAUCAUUGAUGAUUGAACCAUUCUAUUCUUGUUCUCUCGCAGAUGGCGAGAACACACAACAUCGACAGUUGAACAGGAGCUGGAGCCCCAUGUGGCAGCUACUACCAGGGGCAGAUGUAACGAACCGAUCGAUCGUUUUGAGCUCUAGUGCAUCAUUCGGCGGUUUGAGGCCUUGAGUAGCUUCACUUCAUGUUUUAUGACUUGUACGUGUGGUCAGAAUUAAAUUUCGGGAAGUUCGGAGUUGAUUCGGAAGGAAAAUUCUCAAUGCGGAAGCUUAAGUUGGAAAGGUUGACCAAGGUUUGACUUUUAUUUAAACGACUUCGGAAUUGAGAUUUGAAGGUUCUAAUAGGUUCGUACGAUAAUUUCGGACUUGGGUGUAUGUUUGGGUUGAGUAUCGGGUGGUUCGGAAGCAUUUUGGCGCUUAUUAUGGGAAGUUGGCAUUUUGAAAGUUUAAGAAUUUCUUAAGUUUGAUUUGAAGUGGACUUUGGUGUUACCGAUGUCCGUUUGGGAUUUUGAGCCUUAAAAUAGGUUCGUAUCAUGAUUUGUGACUUCUUCGCAAAAUUUGGCAUCAUUUCGGAAUGUUUAAGUAUGAUUCGGAUGCAUUCGUCGAAGUUGAAGGUUUGAAAGUUAAAAGAAGGAUCUUGAUCGUCGAUUUGUCAUUUGGAUGUUAUUUGGUGUGCUUUGAGGUCUCGAGCAGGUUCAUAUCAUGUUUUGGGGCUGGUUGGUGUGUUCAGACGGGGUCACGGGUGUGAUUCAGGAUGUUUUCGGACCAAGUUUUGGUGUUUUGACGCUGUUGGUUGCUGGUGAUGGUGUCGUGCUUCGCGAUCGCGAGUGGAUAUACGCGAUCGAGAAGAAGGAAAUUGGUGGCUGCCUUUUUGUGCUUUGCGAACACGAAGUAAGAGUCACGAACACGAAGGAGGACUGGGGUUCAGGGGGACUUUACCCUACGCGAACGUGACAAGGUAGUCGCGAACGCAAUAAGUUGUUGGGCUUGUAGUUUUUCAUUCGCGAACGCGGGAAGAUAAACGCGAACGUGAAGGAGGAGUUCUAGACUGGGGACGAGUUGGUCAUCGCGAAUGCGAUGGUUUGGACACAAACGCGAUGCUUUGGACUAUUGGGCCUUCACAAACGUGACCAGGGACACGCGAACGCGAUGAAGGACGGGCCUGGGCAUAUAUGUUUUAAAGCGGGAUUUGAGUCAUUUUCACCUCAUUUUCUUCUGUGUGAGCCAACUUUGGUGCAGUUUUGGAGUUCCAUUUCAUCAUCUAUCAUGAGGUAUGUAAUUUCUACACAUUGUUAGUUAAAUAUACGAAUUUAGGCUUGUAAAUUUAUGAAAUUUUGUAGAAAUUGUGGAAUUUGGAAGAAAACCUAGAAUUUGGUAUAUUUUUGAUUUUGACCACGAAAUUGAGCAUGGAAUUAGGAAUAAAUUAUAUAUUUGAGAUUGUGGUGUUAUGGGUAAUGUUUAUCUUCGAAUUAGGCAUUGGUUUGAGGUGAUAGAGAGGCAUUGGAGCCAGUUAUGGAACUUCGGAGCGAGGUAAGUCUCUUGUCUAACCUUGUGAGGGAGAAUUUACCCCAUAAGUGUUAUAUUUAUUAUGUGCUACACGUUGUGGGAGCUACGCACAUAUGAGGUGACGAGUGUCCGUGCGUCCGCUAUAAUUCCUGAUUAUGUCCUGGUAGACUUAGACUCACGCCAUGAUUUAAUUGUACUAUUUGAGUUAUUCUUGCCUAUUUAAUUACUUCAAUUUGCACUAUGACCUGAGACUAGACUCGCGUAGAGUAAUGGACUCUCUAUUUUAGAUAUUUGACGAGCAACUUGAUUAGCUGAAGAAAUUGUACUUCUCUUACGGAUUUCUCCCGCGUUGUGCGUAUUCAUCAAAAAGUUUCCUUAAAUUUCAUAACUCAAACGUAUAUUCGUGAGUGGGGUCAAGGAACCGUAAAAGCUUCAUAUUCCUAUGGGAUAGUGCCGUUCGCCUUGGCAGGAUAUUGUAACACACUCUUAUAGGAUCAGGCCGUUCGCCUCGACAGGAUAUUAUAACACACUCUUAUGGGAUCAAGCCGUUCGCCUCGGCAGGAUAUUGUAUCAUACUCUUAUAGGAUCAGGCCGUUCACCUCGGUAGUUCUAUGAAACACUCUUAUGGGAUCGGCCCACUCACCUCGGCAGAAUCGUGCAAAAUACUUGAUAAAACGUCCGCAUACUCAUGAGCUUCCUAACUUGAGGUGUGACCAUUGAUUUGGUAAUGACCAUUACGUAUUCCAUUUGAGGAAGUAUUCGAUACUUGACAACCUUGUGUUCAUUGUUUAGCUGCAGACCGUAUUAUUUGCUUAUAUCUGUACUCAUUGUUUACUCAUAUUUCAUACUUGUCUACUUUAUUAUACUUGAUAUACUGGACCACUAGUAAGUGUCAAUGUCGACCCCUCCUCACUACGUCUUCGGGGUUAGGUUAGAUACUUACUGAGUUCGUGUUGAUUUACGUACUCAUGCUGCACUUCUGCACUAAAUGUGUAGGAUAUGAGAGGUUCAUUUGGUGGUCAUUUGGACGCUUAGGCGUAGAUGCUGAGGGGAUUUUAUGGUGAGAUGCAUUACAUGCUACGAGUCACAGCACACAGAGUCUCCAUCAUAAUUAUUUACUUUAUCCUGUCUAUCUUGUAUUCUAGACAUAUGUUGUAUUGUUAUUGUACUUUCUAGUAGAUGCUCAUGCACUUGUGAUACUUGAUUUUGGAAGUAUUCUAGAAUUUGUUUAUGGUUUGAUUUACAUUGACACACUUUUACUUUAUAUUUUUAUUAAAUUGUACGUAUCUAUGAUUUUUAAUGCAUUGAUCUCUCUCUAUCUAAUAAGAUUCAUGAUUUUUAAAAAUAAUAAAAUAAAUAAUUAAGUUGGUAGUUCACCGUUGGCUUGCCUAACGGCGACGUUGGGCGCCACCACGACCUAUUUUGAUAUUUGGGCCAUGACAACUUGGUAUCAGAGCCCUAGGUUCACUUAGGUCUCACGAGUCAUGAGCAAGUUGAGUAGAGUCUUACGGAUCGGUACGGAUACGUCUGUACUUAUCUUCGAGAGGCUACAGGGCUGUUUGAAGAACUUUCCUUUCUUGAUUCCUCGUCGUGUGAUUUGAUUCCAUUGAAGCUUAUGCCUUUAUUUCCUUUCUACUCAUUCUUAUACGAUGUUGAGCGCUUGUUAUCAAUUGGGCAUCGAGGAGUUGUAAUGGUACUGCAAAUGUGGUGCAGGAUAUUUCUCCCUGCGUAUUUGAGUGGGCUAUUAUCGUCGCCUUAUGGAGGGAUGUUCUGUCGUUUCAGCCCAGUGUUGGUAUUGCCUACGUUCGAGAUUUGAUAUAUUCCAAAUUUGGUGGAAUUCUUGUUAAUAUUGUGGUGUCGCCGUCCUUGAUUGAACGCAUUGAGGCUCAUCGGCAUGUUGGUCUUCAUUUGUUUGCCUUUAGGCAUAGUGUUUUGAGAUGGAACGUAAGAGGAAGUUAUCAGAGAUGGCUGUGUGUUGCGACUUCAGGAUCAAAUCGGCGUUUCCAGUGUUGAUGGUUCGAGGGAGAUGAUCUCUGAGGUGGUUUCUGCGCUUAGGAAUUUUGAAUGUGACGAGAAGGGCUUGAUUGGAAUGUCGGAAAAUGUGAGUAUUCGAUAAUUGUUUUGGAUGCAGUACGACUUUGAGUUUCUAACAUAUUGUUGGACCUUUGGGUGAUGUUAAUGAAUGAAAGGAUUCUUACGGCUGGUAGAUCAGUGUGUGCCCAGGGAGAUUAAUUGAUUUCAUGAUGGAUGUAACUAUUGCAAUGACAUUGGUGGAAGUCGAUAUGAGGUUACACAUGUGGGAUAUCUCCUGUGAAUAGGUUAGCGAUUGCGUGGUUUUGAUGAGGUUCCCAUGAGGAGUUCUACUUUCUACCUAACAUGGGAUGCAUGUAUUUCGAUGUGAGCUUGGGUUGCUUGAAGAAGACGGUAUGACCCCUAGGAGGUUGAGCGUGCGAUGGUGGCUGAUAAUUCAGGACGUGUGAUUGGUGCAACAAGAGCUUGCAAGAAGUUGGCCGAGUAAUAGUAUGGGAUCGUGGUAACUGGGAAGAAGAAGUCGUUGUGAGGUUUCGAUCUGUGUGAUUAUAGCAUAAAGCUAAGUGGGGGAGCCUGCCGUCUAUGAUUAGGUCACGUGGUUGUGUGCCUGUGUAGUUUCUGGCUAUCGGUGUAUUGGUAGAUUAGUUAUGACCAAGAGAAGAAAACAUCAAGGGUAUUUUGGGCAAGGAAUUUGACGUAUAUGUGCUAUAUUUCACCUUAUAGAUUCAUGUGCAGAUGUUGGGGAUGACUCAUAAUUUAUGCUUCUUGUGGAUGUGAUGUGCAAGGAAAAGAAUUAAUCAGGUUGCUUCUUUGGAGGUAUUCAUGUGCUAGCAAAGCACUAGAGUUUGGUUAUAUAUUUGGGACUAGGUCAGAGUGGGCGAUUCUUAACAAUGGUUCUAUUAGGUUCAAGAAUUAAAUUGCGGUGUUUAAAGAUUUUGGGUUCGUUAUGUGGCCGAGGACUGGGUUUUGCAACAUAGUGUGAAGAAUACUUGGUGAGUUUCUAUGUUAUCAUCGGGUCUACGGUGCAAUAUUAGAGAAAUGGGAGGAACAACUUUGGAUUCGCAGGAGGUCUUCCAAAAUAGGUGUAUCAACGAGAGAUACUAUUGAGUACAUGAGGAUGGUAUGAGAUGGUUGGUGGGUAUGGAGACGACAUGGUCUUAUGAUAUGGGUCACUCUGGAUGAGUGUAGUUUGUGGUCCGUUAUGUAUUUGAAUAGAACUAUUAUUUCGAAGGCAAGUUAAGAGUAAAUUGGGAGAAGUAGAGUUAGUUAGUAAUGGUUUGAAUCAGCAGGGUUGUGGAAAUGGCCAGUUUCUUCCGUGAGGUAAGGCUAUACAAGUGGUUCGUGGAUAUACGUGCGAGCUUAAUAGCCGUCGUGGUUCGAUUGAUUUGGAAGUAAUUGAUUCUAAUGUCUUGGUUGCAUGUGAAUGGAUCCUAGAAGAGAUAUGGCGGUUUAUACCGCGACUUGAGGUUUGCAUUUUCUGUGGUUAUGGGAAGUUGGCUAUGAGUGGCGAUUCUUCUUUUGAAAUGAGUUAAGUGAAAGGUUUCGAGCCUAUAAAGUGUUAACUAUACUGAUGGUACAGGAGAUUAUGAUGCAAUUCUUGUACUCUUGAGUAGCAGCAUGAUAUGUGCAGUGAGCGGUAUGGAGAUUUGAAGUGGAGGAUCAAGGUUGCAGUUCAGGUUUGAUAAGAAUGUCACGAGCUCAGGGGGGGGGGGGGGAGAUUCAGAUGUUCAGAGUAAGCUGGAAUUAUCUUAAUGUCGCCUAAGGAUGGUGUUCUGUAAAAGAGGCAUUGCGCAUUGGUUAAAGGAUUCUUAAUUGGCAUUACAUAAAUACUUUCAUCGAUGUCCAUUGAUGUUCAAAUUUUCCUACCUGGUACGGAAGGUUGUGGGAGUAUAUCCCAUGGGAAUAUCUUAUAAGUGUGACGUGUUAGUCAUUUAAAUUGUUAGAGACUGAAAUCAGGUAUGAAGGUUCCGAUACUGUCACUGAUUGGAGAGUGUAUGUCUGAGGGGCGCUCUAUUCAUUUGAUUGUGGAAUGUGGAGGUUUGUUCCGAAUUGGUCGGCUGCUUGUAUGUGUCAUGAAUGGGGUCAUUGUGGAUCUUUGAAAGGUUAUUGGCCUAGUAUGGGAUGAUCAGAAUCGGCUUGAGGUCCGUUGGUAGAUCUAAUAUGAAUGUAUGCUCUACAUCAGACCGGAUAUGUUCAUUCAGCAUAACAUUGCUUAUGGAUGAUUCUUCGGGCGUAGAGGAUGAUAUUCCAUGCGUCGUCCAUUUUAGGUGCUACUCUUUAUGCCACAUGUGUUGUGAGGCGGCUUGAUUAUUCGCGCGUGAGUUGUGAUCCGGUGUAGCUUGUGGUAUUAUAUGAGCGAGAUGGCUUUCGAGAUGACGGUUGUUUGAUUCUCCUUAUUAGAGCUUAACUUUUGUAGCACAUAGGGUUAUCCAUCUCCCCAGGGUUGUGUUUAUGCACUUGGCGUGCUUGUGGUCGAUAUUCAGGCAUUUUGUGGGUAUGAGCAGUUUGGCUCGGUAGGUACUUCCUUGUUGAUUGUUCUGUAUAGAUUGGGUGGCCCGCCGCCACAGGUAUGAUGUUUGAGUCGGGUUGCACGCCGCAACAGUAUCAUAUGUGGAUCGAUUUGCGCGCCACAACAGUGAGAUAUUGAGUACGGUUUCCUAUACUUAUUUUUGUGUGUCUUGUUUCUCACCUCUGAGAUAGGUUCAUAGCCUUUGUUUGGUUGUUUUAUUCAUUACGCGGGCUGAUUAGUUCUUUGCCAGAGUUCGUUCUUCCAUAUGUGUCAUAUUCGAGUCGUAGCUUGAUGGUGCAUUAAUAGCGUCAUAUGGAAUUUUAGAUGGUAUUUGAGGUGGUGUAUUGCCCGAGCAACUUGUACUGGUCGAGACGAGGUUAUUGGACCUAAAAUCAGUGCGAUCAAAUUUAUGUAAGGUAUAUUAUAGAGAAAAUGUCACUAUUCAGAUUAGUAUGAGGUAAUGGUUCUUGUCAAAUGGAUAAACUCCACGAGUUAUUAAUUUGAUGGGUGGUUAUGAGUUCCUGCACAUCUCUUUCAUCGUUGAAAUAAUGUGAAGGUUAAGGCCGAGCUUAUAUGCGCAUUAUGAGGUAUAUUAUGGGCACUUGAUUGGUGAAAUUAUAGCUUCUACGGUUGGAGGAUGUUAUGGGCACACAAAUUAUGCGGUCCAUUGUGUGGUUUUCUGCAUGAGUGAAUGAUCAUAUUUGGUACAAUGAGUUGAGAUUGUUACGGCGUGUGUAUGUUAGAAUCAGACCAGGUGGAGAAUUUUGGAUGUUGGAAUUUGGUUCAAAGUCUUGUGGGUUAAUGUAGCGUGAAGGAUCUUCAGCCUAGCUCGAGUUAAUGUGCUCACGUGGGUUGCAGUGGCAUGGAUAGGUGCACGAGGUGUUAAACAAUGAUUUUGGGCAACUCCGAAACGGUUCUUGGCACGUUCGAGGACGAACGUAUGUUUAAGUGGGGGAGAAUGUUACGACCCGAGUCGUUCUAAGAUCUAGCACGUCGUUCAGCAGUUUGACUCCUUGAGCAGCUUCACUUCAUGUUUUAUGACUUGUACGUGUGGUCGGAAUUAAGUUUCGGGAAGUUCGGAGUUGAUCCGGAAGGAAAAUUCUCAAUUCGGAAGCUUUAAGUUAGAAGAGUUGACCAAGGUUUGACUUUUGAGUAAAAGACAUCAGAAUUGGGAUUUGAAGGUUCCAAUAGAUUAGUACGGUGAUUUCGGACUUGGGCGUAUGUUCGGGUUGAGUAUCGGGUGGGUCCGGGAGCAUUUCGGCGCUUCUUAUGGAAAGUUGGCAUUUUGAAAGUUUAAGAAUUUCUUAAGUUCGAUUUGAAGUGGACUUUGGUGUUAUUGAUGUCCAUUUGGGAUUUUGAGCUUUAGAAUAGGUUCGUAUCGUGAUUUGUGACUUGUUCGCAAAAUUUGGCGUCAUUCCGGAAUUUUUAAGUAUGAUUCGGACGCGUCUGUCGAAGUUUAAAGGUUUGAAAGUUAAAAGAAGGAUCUUGAUUGUCGAUUCGUCGUUUAGAUGUUGUUUGGUGUAAUUUUAGGUCUUGAUCAGGCUCGUGUCAUGUUUUGGGGUUGGUUGGUGUGUUUGUACGGGGUCCCGGGGGCCCCGGGUGUGAUUCGGGGUGGUUUCAGACCAAGUUUUGGUGUUUUGAUGCUGCUGGUUGCUGGUGCUGGUGUCGUUCUUCGCGAUUGUGAGUGGACAUACGCGAUCGCGAAGAAGAAAAUUGGUGGCUACCUUUUUGUGCUUCACAAACGCGAAGGAAGAGUCACAAAUGCGAAGGAGGAAUGGGGAUUAGGGGGACUUUACCCUACGUGAACGUGACAAGGUAGUCGCAAACGCGAUGAGUUGCUGGGCUUGCAGUUUGUCCUUCGCGAACGUAGGAAGACAAAUGCAAACGCAAACGCGAAGGAGGAGUUCUAGGACGGGGGCGAGUUCUUUAUCUCUAACGCUAUGGUUUGGACGCGAACACGAUACUGUGGACUAUUGGGCCUUCGCGAACGCGACCAGGGGCACACGAAUGCGAUGAAGGAUGGGCCUGUGCAUAUUUGUUUUAAAGCGGGAUUUGGCUCAUUAUCAUCUCAUUUUCUUCCAUGUGAGCCAACUUUGGCGCUAUUUUGAAAUUCCCUUUUCAUCAUCUAUCAUGAGUUAAAUGAUUUCUAUACAUUGUGAGUUAAAUAUACGAAUUUAACCUUGUAAAUUCGUGAUAUUUUGUAGAAAUUGUGAGAUUUGGAAGAAAACAUAGGAUUUGGUAUUUUUUUGAUCUUGACCACAAAAUUGAGCAUGAAAUUAGGAAUAAAUUGUAUAUUUGAGAUCAUGGUCUUAUGGAUAAUGUUUAUCUUUGAAAAGUUUUGGAAUCCAGGCACGUGGGCCCGAGGGUUGACUUUGUUGACUUUUCGAGCGGAGUUGAGAAUUGUUAUAAAUUGAUUAAUUACGAGUGUUGGAAUAUAGUUUUAUUGGUUUUCACGAUUGUUUGAUUAGUUUCGGAUCGUUGGGCAUUAAUUUGAGGUGUUAGAGAGGCAUUGGAGCCGAUUAUGGAACUUCGGAGUGAGGUAAGUCUCUUGUCUAACCUUGUGAGGGGGAAUUUACCCCGUAGGUGUUAUAUUUGUUAUGUGCUACACGUUGUGGGAGCUACACACUUAUGAGGUGACGAGUGUUCGUGCGUAUGUUGGAAUUCCUGAUUAUGUCCUGAUAGACUUAGACUCACGCCAUGCUUUAACUGUACUAUUCGAUUUAUUCUUGCCUGUUUAAUUACUUCAAUUCGCACUAUGACUUGAGACUAGACUCGAGUAGAGUAAUAGACUCACUAUUUUAGAUAUUUGAUGAGCUACUUGAUUAGCCAAAGAAAUUGUACUUCUCUUACGGAUUUCUCCCACAUUGUGCGUAUUCAUUGAAUAAAUUUCUUAAAUUUAAUAACUCACACGUAUAUUUGUGAGUGGGGUCAAGGACCCGUAAAAGCUUCAUAUUCUUAUGGGAUCAGGCCGUUCAUCUCGGCAGGAUAUUGUAACACACUCUUAUGGGAUCAGGUCAUUCGCCUUGGCAGGAUAUUGUAACACACUCUUAUGGGAUCAAGCCGUUUGCCUCGACAGGAUAUUGUAUCAUACUCUUAUGGGAUCGGGCCGCUCGCCUCUGCAGAACCAUGCGAAAUACUUGAUAAAAAGUUCGUGUACUCAUGAGCUUCCUGACUUGAAAUAUGACCGUUGAUUUGGUAAUGACCAUUACGUAUUCCAUUUGAGGAAGUAUUCGAUACUUGAGAACCUUGUGUUCAUUGUUCAACUGUAGACCGUAUUAUUUGCUUAUAUCUGUACUCAUUGUUUACUUAUCAUAUUUCAUACUUGUCUACUUUAUUAUACUUGAUAUACUAGACCACUAGUAAGUGUCAAUGUCGACCCCUCCUCACUAUCUCUUCGGGGUCAGGCUAGAUACUUAUUGGAUAUGCGUUGAUUUACGUACUCAUACUGCACUUCUGCACUAAAUGUGCAGGAUCUGACAGGUUCAUUUGGUGGUCAUUUGGGCGCGUAGGCGCAGUUGCUGAGGGGACUUUAUGGUGAGCUGCAUUCCAUGCUACGAGCCACAGUACACAAAGUCUCAAUCAUAAUUAUUUACUUUAUCCUGUCUAUCUUGUAUUCAAGACAAAUGUUGUAUUGUUAUUGUACUUUCUAGUAGAUGCUCAUGCACUUGUGACACAUGGUUUUGAGGGUGUUCUAGAAUUUGUUUAUGGUUUGCUUUACAUUGACACACUUUUACUUUAUAUUUUGAUUAAAUUGUACGUAUCUACGAUUUUAAUGCAU